CUGGUUGAUCCUGCCAGUAGUCAUAUGCASGUCUCAAAGAUUAAGCCAUGCAUGUCUAAGUAUAAGCAAUUUAUACAGUGAAACUGCGAAUGGCUCAUUAAAUCAGUUAUCGUUUAUUUGAUAGUACCUUACUACUUGGAUAACCGUGGUAAUUCUAGAGCUAAUACAUGCUUAAAAUCCCGACUGUUUGGAAGGGAUGUAUUUAUUAGAUAAAAAAUCAAUGUCUUCGGACUCUUUGAUGAUUCAUAAUAACUUUUCGAAUCGCAUGGCCUUGUGCUGGCGAUGGUUCAUUCAAAUUUCUGCCCUAUCAACUUUCGAUGGUAGGAUAGUGGCCUACCAUGGUUUCAACGGGUAACGGGGAAUAAGGGUUCGAUUCCGGAGAGGGAGCCUGAGAAACGGCUACCACAUCCAAGGAAGGCAGCAGGCGCGCAAAUUACCCAAUCCCGACACGGGGAGGUAGUGACAAUAAAUAACGAUACAGGGCCCUUUCGGGUCUUGUAAUUGGAAUGAGUACAAUGUAAAUACCUUAACGAGGAACAAUUGGAGGGCAAGUCUGGU
Molecule: ribosomal RNA, 558 nt
Filed under: uncultured eukaryote
Lineage: Eukaryota
Description: SSU rRNA
Rfam family: Eukaryotic small subunit ribosomal RNA
Source: RNAcentral